Podarcis lilfordi (Lilford's wall lizard) is the source of this 73-nucleotide non-coding RNA. The record is from the annotation of a GenBank genome assembly. Lineage: Eukaryota; Metazoa; Chordata; Lepidosauria; Squamata; Lacertidae.
GGGUGGGGAGCUCAGUCGGCAGAGUGUAAGACUCUUCAUCUGAGGGCCACGGGUUCGAGCACCAUGCUGGGCA